ACGGUCGCAAGAUUAAAACUCAAAUGAAUUGACGGGGGCCCGCACAAGCGGUGGAGCAUGUGGUUUAAUUCGAUGCAACGCGAAGAACCUUACCUACUCUUGACAUCCAGAGAACUUUCCAGAGAUGGAUUGGUGCCUUCGGGAACUCUGAGACAGGUGCUGCAUGGCUGUCGUCAGCUCGUGUUGUGAAAUGUUGGGUUAAGUCCCGCAACGAGCGCAACCCUUAUCCUUGUUUGCCAGCGAGUAAUGUCGGGAACUCCAGGGAGACUGCCGGUGAUAAACCGGAGGAAGGUGGGGACGACGUCAAGUCAUCAUGGCCCUUACGAGUAGGGCUACACACGUGCUACAAUGG
RNAcentral lists this ribosomal RNA (352 nucleotides) under Vibrio parahaemolyticus. Its description in RNAcentral is "bacterial SSU rRNA". It matches the Rfam family "Bacterial small subunit ribosomal RNA", at positions 882 to 1233 of the family's 1533-position model. Lineage: Bacteria; Pseudomonadati; Pseudomonadota; Gammaproteobacteria; Vibrionales; Vibrionaceae. The record is from RNAcentral.